AGUGAACGCUGGCGGUAGGCCUAACACAUGCAAGUCGAACGGCAGCACAGUAAGAGCUUGCUCUUACGGGUGGCGAGUGGCGGACGGGUGAGGAAUACAUCGGAAUCUACUUUUUCGUGGGGGAUAACGUAGGGAAACUUACGCUAAUACCGCAUACGACCUACCGGUGAAAGCAGGGGAUCUUCGGACCUUGCGCGAUUGAAUGAGCCGAUGUCGGAUUAGCUAGUUGGCGGGGUAAAUGCCCACCAAGGCGACGAUCCGUAGCUGGUCUGAGAGGAUGAUCAGCCACACUGGAACUGGAACACGGUCCAGACUCCUACGGGAGGCAGCAGUGGGGAAUAUUGGACAAUGGGCGCAAGCCUGAUCCAGCCAUACCGCGUGGGUGAAGAAGGCCUUCGGGUUGUAAAGCCCUUUUGUUGGGAAAGAAAAGCAGCAGGUUAAUACCCCGCUGUUCUGACGGUACCCAAAGAAUAAGCACCGGCUAACUUCGUG
Molecule: ribosomal RNA, 492 nt
Filed under: uncultured bacterium
Lineage: Bacteria
Description: partial 16S ribosomal RNA
Rfam family: Bacterial small subunit ribosomal RNA
Source: RNAcentral